This is a long non-coding RNA of Lycium barbarum (goji berry), 789 nucleotides long. RefSeq lists it as uncharacterized. Lineage: Eukaryota; Viridiplantae; Streptophyta; Magnoliopsida; Solanales; Solanaceae. The transcript has 3 exons. The record is from RefSeq and is a predicted model, not a curated record.
UCAGUUACUUUUUUUUCUUGCAAGGGAAAAAAUAGGCGAAACCUUAGCUUCGCUGACUUUAUGAGGUCUAACCUUCGCCACGACAUUAGUGUUUCACAAAAAAUACCUCACCUCUGAAAUUUCUUGACUCGUCUCUUUCUUGGUCUUUGCUUUGAAUGCUUUGAAAAAGAUUUGAAAAUUCCUAAGCUCUACCAUAUUGGGCCUUUAAUGGGUAAGUUGCGGCCCUUUAACUUGAAACUCAUAAAAACCCAUAUUAGUUAGGUUAAUACUUAGGAUUGUGAGGUUUAAUUGAAAGUAUUCCAGAGAGUUCCAUCCCGCCAUUUCGACUGGCCGCGAAAUUGCGGAAUCACUUAUUCUGAGCGAAACGGGAUUUGAGUUUUGGACGAGCAUAAGACGCAUAUAAGGUACAGACGCCGGUGAUCCACCACUGUAGGUUCCACCUCCUGCUAUUUCAGAGUGCUCCCUUUUGAUCCGGAGCCCACUUUUGGUACAUACAUCUUUUGCUAUGUAUAUGUUUCUGUACAGUUGACUACUUGGGGUACGGCGGGGCCCUGUCCCGUCAUAUGUUUUUGUUUUGACGUAUAGAGGCUUGUAGUCAUAUAUGUGGGUCGUGAGUCCUAUGUGUGUUCGUUUUGGUUAUGAUUUAUGCUUUAAUGCGGUCCUAUUUGUUAUGGCGGCCAAACUGGCCCAUAUGUUCGCAUCAGUAUAUAUAGGAUCGGCGAUGUGUAUUCCGCCGCUCCUUUUGGCUUUGGAUAUGAUAUUUUUUGCAAGCGUGACCGCUUAAGAUAA